This 434-nucleotide long non-coding RNA is filed under the name Gallus gallus (chicken). RNAcentral's name for it is "lncRNA (ENSGALG00010025450.1)". The record is from RNAcentral. Lineage: Eukaryota; Metazoa; Chordata; Aves; Galliformes; Phasianidae.
UAAUUAUUAACAGGGCAGUCGCCGCUUCGCAACUUUGAGCUGCUUGUAUCUUGUCCCCUUACCCUGUGGACCAGCAAGCUGGGGGAGGCAGCAGCUCUGCAGGGCAGGAGAUGGGGCUCUGGCGCUGCGCUCCAUCUCUGUGCAUCUCAGCAAACACAGAAACACAUUAUCAUUUGGCUGGAAGUUUUUGCACAUCCAAGACAUCACUUGAACAAUUAAGAGGCUGCCCUGAUGAGCUCCUCACUCUGGUCCCUUAACCCACGUCUCCAAGAGCUACCUCUGCUUUUCAGAUCCCCCAUAAAGAAGCAGCUACUCUGGACCCUGUCACCCACAGCUAUAAUCAGUGUUUGAAUCAGUGCCAGACUUGAGCCACAUGUCCAUCAGUGUUGGGGACAGAUUUCACAUAUGACGAUGAUGAAGACGUCUCCUUGUGG